UCCCUCCCCUAGCGCGAGGCCAGAUUGCCGGGUCCGGAGUCCUCUCUCCCCAGUCGUUCGCUCUCGCGCCGCCUGCCUCAGUGGCAGGCUGGAGGAGGGGGCUGCGCGCGCGAGGCACAGCCGCGCGACGGGGGCACACGGGCGGCGCGGGGCGACUGGCCGCAGCAGCGCGCGAGGGCAACAAGUGGGUAAUUUUCCCGCCAGCAUGUCCCGGCGGCGGCUCCUGCCGUCCUCGAGGCGGGUGCCGACGCCCCCCGCUCUUUGAGAUCCGCGCUUGGAGAUCGCGACCCGGCCGGUGAGGAGAAGCGGCCGCCGCCGGGUCGAGGUGGCCGAGCCACCAGGGACUCUCCGGCGAGGGGCGGAGGCGCCUCCGCCCAGCCCAGCCCAGCCGCCCGUCCCUUUUCCUGGCCGGGACUGGGACCAUCCCCCCGGGGGUGAGGGAGGGCGAUCCGGCCCGCACGCGCCGCGGGGAGCAUCGCUGGCCGGCCAGAGCCCCCGCCCUGCCGCAGGGGCUGAGCGCGGCGGCGGCAGGAUGGAGCCCGGCUGCUGAGGCCGUUGUGAGCAGCAUGGUGGAGCCGGAAAGCGCCACAGGAACAGGCGACGCGGAGCCCAGCUGUUGUCUGGCAAGGUCAGCAAGGCGUGCUUAGGAGAAGUAAUCUCAGAGGAAUCUGAAAAUGUUCCCGAUUGCUCAAUGAUACCUUCAGCCAGUUAAGCACCUUUCUACACUGCGAUUACUGCAUUCAGAGGAUCCAGUUUCAACACAGUUAUCCCCUGACCUGCUUACAACAUGGUUCCACUUUGUAAUGAAGAAUGGAUGUUAAUUCUGUUGGAAACAUCCAAGGCUUUUAGCCUGGCUACGUAAAAGAGAUAAAGUCCUGUUUACAGUGCAAAUCAGAAUUAUGUUGAAAUGGGGACCUCAGACUUGAUUGUAAAUGUAGCUUAGAUUGGCUUUGAAUGGCUCCAAGCAGAUUCUUGUCCUGUUCUUUGCCACCAAGAUGAUGGCCUUGAUAUUGAGGGCGGUAGAUUGUGGAGGAGGGGAAAGUACUGUGAUAUGAUACAAUAGUUUUAUUUUAAAUUUUACAAACACAUGCUUAGAAUGACUUAGUAGACUUGUGCCUAGAUUAUUUCCAAGCAUAUAGAAACUGAGGAAAAACAAUUGGUUCUUUUAGACCUUGAUUACAUUCGAUAAUCAUAAACUAAUCAAACAGAUUAUAAUUUUAUUUUAUUUUAAAUUGAAAGCGGGGGGAAAAGGGAUUAAUUUUUACAUUUGCUUGUGACUCUAAUGUAAUGCAGUAUAGGCUGUAUUCUGUGUGUUUCCAGUUUUGGAUGUAAAGUACAUGAAAGGCAUUGCUGAGGAGUAGAAAAUUUGCUUGCUCCAUAUUUAAAAAUAUAACUGGCAAUCAAGUAAGUUUUGUUUGAACAUGGAUUUUUUUCUGUUCGUUUUUGUAUUUGAAAUUAUCCUAAAGUGCAUUUUUGAAGUCUUUGCAUUCUUUUCUACUUCCCUCCAAUGGUUUUAUAUAAUAUUGUUAAGAGCUUGACCAUUUUCCCCUUCACUGAGUUUUAUUUGGUAAAUAUGGCUUUUCUUUGUUUUGAAGUGGGAGUUGAUAUUAAUAUUGCUGUUUUUAUUUACUUAUGCACCAGAAUUCAGUGUCAGCACUACUUUGAGAGUAGUGUUUAACUGCAACUGCAGACCACGAAAGGGAAAUGCAUGAUCAAAACAAAGUUUGUUUGUUUUUAAAUGUCACUAAUAAAGUGAUAGCUUUAGUUGUGGGAUGGGUGAGG
Chrysemys picta bellii (western painted turtle) is the source of this 1782-nucleotide long non-coding RNA. The record is from Ensembl. Lineage: Eukaryota; Metazoa; Chordata; Testudines; Emydidae.